GAGCAACGCCGCGUGAGUGAUGAAGGUCUUCGGAUCGUAAAACUCUGUUAUCAGGGAAGAACAAACGUGUAAGUAACUGUGCACGUCUUGACGGUACCUGAUCAGAAAGCCACGGCUAACUACGUGCCAGCAGCCGCGGUAAUACGUAGGUGGCAAGCGUUAUCCGGAAUUAUUGGGCGUAAAGCGCGCGUAGGCGGUUUUUUAAGUCUGAUGUGAAAGCCCACGGCUCAACCGUGGAGGGUCAUUGGAAACUGGAAAACUUGAGUGCAGAAGAGGAAAGUGGAAUUCCAUGUGUAGCGGUGAAAUGCGCAGAGAUAUGGAGGAACACCAGUGGCGAAGGCGACUUUCUGGUCUGUAACUGACGCUGAUGUGCGAAAGCGUGGGGAUCAAACAGGAUUAGAUACCCUGGUAGUCCACGCCGUAAACGAUGAGUGCUAAGUGUUAGGGGGUUUCCGCCCCUUAGUGCUGCAGCUAACG
This 477-nucleotide ribosomal RNA is filed under the name Staphylococcus pasteuri. RNAcentral describes it as "bacterial SSU rRNA". It matches the Rfam family "Bacterial small subunit ribosomal RNA", at positions 389 to 857 of the family's 1533-position model. Lineage: Bacteria; Bacillati; Bacillota; Bacilli; Caryophanales; Staphylococcaceae. The record is from RNAcentral.